CCUACGGGAGGCAGCAGGUCAGGAUCUUGCGCAAUGGGCGAAAGCCUGACGCAGCGACGCCGCGUGGGCGAUGAAGGACUUCGGGUCGUAAAGCCCUUUUCUGUGGGACGAUAAUGACGGUACCACAGGAAUAAGCCACGGCUAACUACGUGCCAGCAGCCGCGGUAAUACGUAGGUGGCUAGCGUUAUCCGGAUUCACUGGGCGUAAAGAGCGCGUAGGCGGUGUGCUAAGUUGGACGUGAAAGCCCCCGGCUUAACCGGGGGAGGUCGUCCAAUACUGGUGCACUUGAGGGUGGACGGGGAAAGCGGAAUUCCCGGUGUAGGGGUGAAAUGCGUAGAUAUCGGGAGGAACACCAGUGGCGAGGGCGGCUUUCUAGACCACUCCUGACGCUGAGGCGCGAAAGCGUGGGGAGCGAACGGGAUUAGAUACCCCUGUAGU
RNAcentral lists this ribosomal RNA (439 nucleotides) under uncultured bacterium. RNAcentral describes it as "partial 16S ribosomal RNA". It matches the Rfam family "Bacterial small subunit ribosomal RNA", at positions 338 to 794 of the family's 1533-position model. The record is from RNAcentral.